This 439-nucleotide ribosomal RNA is filed under the name uncultured bacterium. RNAcentral's name for it is "partial 16S ribosomal RNA". It matches the Rfam family "Bacterial small subunit ribosomal RNA", at positions 338 to 794 of the family's 1533-position model. The record is from RNAcentral.
CCUACGGGAGGCAGCAGUAGGGAAUAUUGCUCAAUGGGGGAAACCCUGAAGCAGCAACGCCGCGUGAUCGAGACGCCCUUCGGGUAGUAAAGAUCUGUCAGUGGGGACGAAACUUGACGGUACCCACAGAGGAAGCACCGGCUAACUCCGUGCCAGCAGCCGCUGUAAUACGGGGGACGCAAGCGUGUUCCGGAAUCAUUGGGCGAUAAGAGGUGGUAGGCGGCACGUAAAGUCUGGUGUUAAAGGCAGAGGCUCAACUUCUGUACGGCACUGUCGACGUGCGAGCCAGAAUGAGGUAGAGGGAAAGGGAAGUCCGGGUGUAGCGGUGAAAUGCUUAGAUAUCAGGAGGAACAUCGGUGGCGUAAGCGCAUUACUGGGCCGUAAUUGACGCUGAGGAACGAAAGCCAGGGUAGCAAAUGGGAUUAGAUACCCCAGUAGU